AUUGAACGCUGGCGGCAGGCCUAACACAUGCAAGUCGAACGGUAGCAGGAAGAAGCUUGCUUCUUCGCUGACGAGUGGCGGACGGGUGAGUAAUGUCUGGGAAACUGCCUGAUGGAGGGGGAUAACUACUGGAAAUAGUAGCUAAUACCGCAUAACGUCGCAAGACCAAAGAGGGGGACCUUCGGGCCUCUUGCCAUCGGAUGUGCCCAGAUGGGAUUAGCUUGUUGGUGGGGUAACGGCUCACCAAGGCGACGAUCCCUAGCUGGUCUGAGAGGAUGACCAGCCACACUGGAACUGAGACACGGUCCAGACUCCUACGGGAGGCAGCAGUGGGGAAUAUUGCACAAUGGGCGCAAGCCUGAUGCAGCCAUGCCGCGUGUAUGAAGAAGGCCUUCGGGUUGUAAAGUACUUUCAGCGGGGAGGAAGGGAGUAAAGUUAAUACCUUUGCUCAUUGACGUUACCCGCAGAAGAAGCACCGGCUAACUCCGUG
Molecule: ribosomal RNA, 490 nt
Filed under: uncultured bacterium
Lineage: Bacteria
Description: partial 16S ribosomal RNA
Rfam family: Bacterial small subunit ribosomal RNA
Source: RNAcentral